Non-coding RNA from Desmophyllum pertusum, 75 nucleotides. The record is from the annotation of a GenBank genome assembly. Lineage: Eukaryota; Metazoa; Cnidaria; Anthozoa; Scleractinia; Caryophylliidae.
GACGCGGUGGUCGAACGGUUAAGCUCGUUGGACUCCGGACCGAGUGGUCCAGGUUCAUGCCCUGGCCCGGGGUCA